This is a non-coding RNA of Gossypium arboreum, 107 nucleotides long. The record is from Rfam. Lineage: Eukaryota; Viridiplantae; Streptophyta; Magnoliopsida; Malvales; Malvaceae.
AACCCAUGAUGAGGAAACCUACGAAGUAACUCCUUGAAUCGCUCCCAAGACUUAUACAAAGACUCGUCAUCCAAUUGAUGGAAAGUUGUGAUCUCAUUCCUCAACUU